GACGAACGCUGGCGGCGUGCUUAACACAUGCAAGUCGAACGGAAAGGCCCUGCUUUUGUGGGGUGCUCGAGUGGCGAACGGGUGAGUAACACGUGAGUAACCUGCCCUUGACUUUGGGAUAACUUCAGGAAACUGGGGCUAAUACCGGAUAGGAGCUCCUGCUGCAUGGUGGGGGUUGGAAAGUCUCGGCGGUUGGGGAUGGACUCGCGGCUUAUCAGCUUGUUGGUGGGGUAGUGGCUUACCAAGGCUUUGACGGGUAGCCGGCCUGAGAGGGUGACCGGCCACAUUGGGACUGAGAUACGGCCCAGACUCCUACGGGAGGCAGCAGUGGGGAAUAUUGCACAAUGGGCGGGAGCCUGAUGCAGCAACGCCGCGUGCGGGAUGACGGCCUUCGGGUUGUAAACCGCUUUCGCCUGUGACGAAGCGUGAGUGACGGUAAUGGGUAAAGAAGCACCGGCUAACUACGUG
This 468-nucleotide ribosomal RNA is filed under the name uncultured bacterium. RNAcentral's name for it is "partial 16S ribosomal RNA". It matches the Rfam family "Bacterial small subunit ribosomal RNA", at positions 28 to 507 of the family's 1533-position model. The record is from RNAcentral.